Molecule: ribosomal RNA, 264 nt
Filed under: uncultured Serratia sp.
Lineage: Bacteria; Pseudomonadati; Pseudomonadota; Gammaproteobacteria; Enterobacterales; Yersiniaceae
Description: partial 16S ribosomal RNA
Rfam family: Bacterial small subunit ribosomal RNA
Source: RNAcentral
UGGGGAAUAUUGCACAAUGGGCGCAAGCCUGAUGCAGCCAUGCCGCGUGUGUGAAGAAGGCCUUCGGGUUGUAAAGCACUUUCAGCGAGGAGGAAGGUGGUGAGCUUAAUACGCUCAUCAAUUGACGUUACUCGCAGAAGAAGCACCGGCUAACUCCGUGCCAGCAGCCGCGGUAAUACGGAGGGUGCAAGCGUUAAUCGGAAUUACUGGGCGUAAAGCGCACGCAGGCGGUUUGUUAAGUCAGAUGUGAAAUCCCCGGCUCAA